GCCUAAAGCGUCCGUAGCCUGUUCUAUAAGUUUCCGGUUAAAUCCACUAGCUCAACUAAUGGGCUGCCGGAAAAACUGUAGAUCUAGGGAGUGGGAGAGGUAGACGGUACUCGAUAGGAAGGGGUAAAAUCCUUUGAUCUAUUGAUGACCACCAGUGGCGAAGGCGGUCUACCAGAACACGUUCGACGGUGAGGGAUGAAAGCUGGGGGAGCAAACCGGAUUAGAUACCCGGGUAGUCCCAGCUGUAAACGAUGCAGACUCGGUGAUGCAUUGGCUUGUGGCCAGUGCAGUGCCGCAGGGAAGCCGUUAAGUUUGCCGCCUGGGAAGUACGUACGCAAGUAUGAAACUUAAAGGAAUUGGCGGGGGAGCACCACAAGGGGUGAAGCCUGCGGUUCAAUUGGAGUCAACGCCAGAAAUCUUACCCGGAGAGACAGCAGAAUGAAGGUCAAGCUGAAGACUUUACCAGACAAGCUGAGAGGUGGUGCAUGGCCGUCGCCAGCUCGUGCCGUGAGAUGUCCUGUUAAGUCAGGUAACGAGCGAGACCCUUGCCUCUAGUUGCCACCAUUGCUCUCUGGAGCAGUGGGGCGAAUUAGCGGGACCGCCGCAGUUAAUGCGGAGGAAGGAAAGGGCUACGGCAGGUCAGUAUGCCCCGAA
RNAcentral lists this ribosomal RNA (654 nucleotides) under uncultured archaeon. Its description in RNAcentral is "bacterial SSU rRNA". It matches the Rfam family "Archaeal small subunit ribosomal RNA", at positions 508 to 1160 of the family's 1478-position model. The record is from RNAcentral.